GAUGAACGCUGGCGGCGUGCCUAACACAUGCAAGUCGAGCGAUUUACUUCGGUAAAGAGCGGCGGACGGGUGAGUAACGCGUGGGUAACCUGCCCUGUACACACGGAUAACAUACUGAAAGGUAUGCUAAUACGGGAUAACAUAAGAGAGUCGCAUGGCUUUCUUAUCACAGCUUUUGCGGUACAGGAUGGACCCGCGUCUGAUUAGCUAGUUGGUAAGGUAACGGCUUACCAAGGCGACGAUCAGUAGCCGACCUGAGAGGGUGAUCGGCCACAUUUGAACUGAGACACGGUCCAAACUCCUACGGGAGGCAGCAGUGGGGAAUAUUGCACAAUGAGCGAAAGCCUGAUGCAGCAACGCCGCGUGAGCGAUGAAGGCCUUCGGGUCGUAAAGCUCUGUCCUCAAGGAAGAUAAUGACGGUACUUGAGGAGGAAGCCCCGGCUAACUACGUGCCAGCCGCCGCAGUAA
RNAcentral lists this ribosomal RNA (468 nucleotides) under uncultured bacterium. RNAcentral describes it as "partial 16S ribosomal RNA". It matches the Rfam family "Bacterial small subunit ribosomal RNA", at positions 28 to 523 of the family's 1533-position model. The record is from RNAcentral.